RNAcentral lists this ribosomal RNA (429 nucleotides) under Gemmatimonadota bacterium. Its description in RNAcentral is "Gemmatimonadetes bacterium partial 16S ribosomal RNA". It matches the Rfam family "Bacterial small subunit ribosomal RNA", at positions 355 to 776 of the family's 1533-position model. Lineage: Bacteria; Pseudomonadati; Gemmatimonadota. The record is from RNAcentral.
UAGGGAAUCUUCGGCAAUGGACGAAAGUCUGACCGAGCAACGCCGCGUGAGUGAAGAAGGUUUUCGGAUCGUAAAACUCUGUUGUUAGAGAAGAACAAGGACGUUAGUAACUGAACGUCCCCUGACGGUAUCUAACCAGAAAGCCACGGCUAACUACGUGCCAGCAGCCGCGGUAAUACGUAGGUGGCAAGCGUUGUCCGGAUUUAUUGGGCGUAAAGCGAGCGCAGGCGGUUUCUUAAGUCUGAUGUGAAAGCCCCCGGCUCAACCGGGGAGGGUCAUUGGAAACUGGGAGACUUGAGUGCAGAAGAGGAGAGUGGAAUUCCAUGUGUGGCGGUGAAAUGCGUAGAUAUAUGGAGGAACACCAGUGGCGAAGGCGGCUCUCUGGUCUGUAGCUGACGCUGAGGCUCGAAAGCGUGGGGAGCAAACAGG